GAUGAACGCUGGCGGCGUGCCUAAUACAUGCAAGUCGAGCGAACGGACGAGAAGCUUGCUUCUCUGAUGUUAGCGGCGGACGGGUGAGUAACACGUGGAUAACCUACCUAUAAGACUGGGAUAACUUCGGGAAACCGGAGCUAAUACCGGAUAAUAUUUUGAACCGCAUGGUUCAAAAGUGAAAGACGGUCUUGCUGUCACUUAUAGAUGGAUCCGCGCUGCAUUAGCUAGUUGGUAAGGUAACGGCUUACCAAGGCAACGAUGCAUAGCCGACCUGAGAGGGUGAUCGGCCACACUGGAACUGAGACACGGUCCAGACUCCUACGGGAGGCAGCAGUAGGGAAUCUUCCGCAAUGGGCGAAAGCCUGACGGAGCAACGCCGCGUGAGUGAUGAAGGUCUUCGGAUCGUAAAACUCUGUUAUUAGGGAAGAACAUAUGUGUAAGUAACUGUGCACAUCUUGACGGUACCUAAUCAGAAAGCCACGGCUAACUACGUGCCAGCAGCCGCGGUAAUACGUAGGUGGCAAGCGUUAUCCGGAAUUAUUGGGCGUAAAGCGCGCGUAGGCGGUUUUUUAAGUCUGAUGUGAAAGCCCACGGGCUCAACCGUGGAGGGUCAUUGGAAACUGGAAAACUUGAGUGCAGAAGAGGAAAGUGGAAUUCCAUGUGUAGCGGUGAAAUGCGCAGAGAUAUGGAGGAACACCAGUGGCGAAGGCGACUUUCUGGUCUGUAACUGACGCUGAUGUGCGAAAGCGUGGGGAUCAAACAGGAUUAGAUACCCUGGUAGUCCACGCCGUAAACGAUGAGUGCUAAGUGUUAGGGGGUUUCCGCCCCUUAGUGCUGCAGCUAACGCAUUAAGCACUCCGCCUGGGGAGUACGACCGCAAGGUUGAAACUCAAAGGAAUUGACGGGGACCCGCACAAGCGGUGGAGCAUGUGGUUUAAUUCGAAGCAACGCGAAGAACCUUACCAAAUCUUGACAUCCUUUGACAACUCUAAAGAUAGAGCCUUCCCCUUCGGGGGACAAAGUGACAGGUGGUGCAUGGUUGUCGUCAGCUCGUGUCGUGAGAUGUUGGGUUAAGUCCCGCAACGAGCGCAACCCUUAAGCUUAGUUGCCAUCAUUAAGUUGGGCACUCUAAGUUGACUGCCGGUGACAAACCGGAGGAAGGUGGGGAUGACGUCAAAUCAUCAUGCCCCUUAUGAUUUGGGCUACACACGUGCUACAAUGGACAAUACAAAGGGCAGCGAAACCGCGAGGUCAAGCAAAUCCCAUAAAGUUGUUCUCAGUUCGGAUUGUAGUCUGCAACUCGACUACAUGGAGCUGGAAUCGCUAGUAAUCGUAGAUCAGCAUGCUACGGUGAAUACGUUCCCGGGUCU
RNAcentral lists this ribosomal RNA (1373 nucleotides) under uncultured bacterium. Its description in RNAcentral is "bacterial SSU rRNA". It matches the Rfam family "Bacterial small subunit ribosomal RNA", at positions 28 to 1381 of the family's 1533-position model. The record is from RNAcentral.